RNAcentral lists this transfer RNA (71 nucleotides) under Heterocephalus glaber (naked mole-rat). It matches the Rfam family "tRNA". Rfam says of the family: Transfer RNA (tRNA) molecules are approximately 80 nucleotides in length. Their secondary structure includes four short double-helical elements and three loops (D, anti-codon, and T loops). Further hydrogen bonds mediate the characteristic L-shaped molecular structure. tRNAs have two regions of fundamental functional importance: the anti-codon, which is responsible for specific mRNA codon recognition, and the 3' end, to which the tRNAs corresponding amino acid is attached (by aminoacyl-tRNA synthetases). tRNAs cope with the degeneracy of the genetic code in two manners: having more than one tRNA (with a specific anti-codon) for a particular amino acid; and 'wobble' base-pairing, i.e. permitting non-standard base-pairing at the 3rd anti-codon position. The record is from Rfam by way of RNAcentral. Lineage: Eukaryota; Metazoa; Chordata; Mammalia; Rodentia; Bathyergidae.
GGGCAUGUAUUUCAACAGGAGAAUGCUUGCUUAGCAAGCAAGAGUCCAGGGUUUUAUCCCCAGCAGUUCCC